Molecule: transfer RNA, 73 nt
Filed under: Chloroflexi bacterium OLB13
Lineage: Bacteria; Bacillati; Chloroflexota
Also listed under: 5 other names
Description: tRNA-Glu
Rfam family: tRNA
About the family: Transfer RNA (tRNA) molecules are approximately 80 nucleotides in length. Their secondary structure includes four short double-helical elements and three loops (D, anti-codon, and T loops). Further hydrogen bonds mediate the characteristic L-shaped molecular structure. tRNAs have two regions of fundamental functional importance: the anti-codon, which is responsible for specific mRNA codon recognition, and the 3' end, to which the tRNAs corresponding amino acid is attached (by aminoacyl-tRNA synthetases). tRNAs cope with the degeneracy of the genetic code in two manners: having more than one tRNA (with a specific anti-codon) for a particular amino acid; and 'wobble' base-pairing, i.e. permitting non-standard base-pairing at the 3rd anti-codon position.
Source: RNAcentral
GGCCCCAUCGUCUAGCGGUCUAGGACACCACCCUUUCAAGGUGGAUACACGGGUUCGAGUCCCGUUGGGGUCA